RNAcentral lists this long non-coding RNA (1847 nucleotides) under Oryza sativa (Asian cultivated rice). Its description in RNAcentral is "long non-coding RNA (OSAT_LNC000390)". Lineage: Eukaryota; Viridiplantae; Streptophyta; Magnoliopsida; Poales; Poaceae. The record is from RNAcentral.
CCACGUCAGCAAAACCGCUCUCCAAAACCGCUGAGGGAGUCAAAUUGCACUGGUUUCAUUAGUUCGGGGAUUUGUCCUAUCCGGUUUUCUGGUUAUGGGGUACGAAUUAGAUUCGGCGUACAAUUAAGGGAGUCAAAUUGGACUUUUUCCUUCAGUUUUCACUGUUAUCUUGGAAAAUCAUUAACGGGCCGAUGAACGGGCUACACAGUUAGGACUGUAGGAGCCCAUUCAGUACACUGAGCUGCAGUAGCAUGGGUAUUUAUGGAUUUUCUUUUGCCAUGUUCUCUCAUUUUGGAAAAAAAAAAGUCCAUUUUGCGUCGUCUAACCGGGUAUAAAAGCUGCUCAAAUAUAAAUGGCACUUCUAACAUACCCAUGGAGUAUUGACUAUCCUGAUUUACUGUUUUAACUUUGAGUACCACUGAUUUUUAUAUGAUUAAAAUGCGAUGAGCAAAAUGUUACUAGUACUCUCUUGUUAUACGAUGAUACAAUGCACUUCGAUAAUAUGACAUUUUAUAUUAUUUAUAAUCUAUUAUCAAAACUAAGUGGCCAAAGUUUAAGGAUUAAUAGUAUAUAAUGUUUAGAUUAUAAAAUAGAGGCAUUUAAAAUAUGAUCUAGAUUCCUCUGAUCUAUUAGUGUUUGUACACCAUUCUAUUCUUGGUCACUUAUUUUUAUUAGAGAAAAAUAAGAUUAGUUUUUUAUUUUCAGAAAAAAUAAGGUUUUUUACAGAGAAGAAUAACGUGGAUCGAGCAGAAAUAUAAGAGGUUAUCACAUUAUAACAACAAAUGAAUUGUACAUAAUAUAUUAUAGUAUCAAAACCAUGCUAGAUACCACAAUCGCUCCAAAGGUGUAGAAAUUAUCACAUUAACCAUUGAAGGAAGAAGGGUUUAUUUUUUAACAUCGUGAUCUAGAUUAUGAUGGUGUAAAUUAAUCGGUGUAGCUUUAUAAGAAAGACAAUUAUGUUUUUAUUAUUAGAAGCACAUGUCAUAUUUUCAUUUAUCCUUUAUUCUAGCUCUGCUAAAUUGUAUGGGAAAUGCGGAUUGUCCUCAACAAUUAGCAUUUGAUUUGUAUGAUAUAAGAUUCUGAAGUGGUUUAGUAACCGUCCCCAAAAUAAGUACGGAUGUUUUUCUUUGAUUUCAAGCACCUUGAUACUAUGAGGAUAUAUUAUGUUUUUCUUUGAUUUCAAGCACCUUGAUACUAAACUACACCUUUUAAGUUUCAAAACAUUCAGAAGGUGCUCAAGCUUCUAGUAGGGAGCAACCAAGUAAUAAUAACCUAAACCAGGACUAGUACCAAUCACAACCAAUAUAGGCAUGCUGAAGGUUUCUCACAAUGUUGAAAAUGUUCAUAGUGUUAAGUACUAAAAAUUAGGAAAGUUCCAUGAUGAAUAUAUGCAAAUUGUAAAAUGUCAUUACAUGUGAGAAUGAUAUGAACCUUGGUUUCCACAUUAAUGACACAAAACAUGAUAUGCAAAAAAAUGGACUUUACUUCUUGUACAGGGUAAAGUCCAUUUUUUCCCUUAGACUUUGCUCAAAGUCCAAUUUUCACCCUGACCUACAAAACCGAAUGUUUUCCGCUCCCCAAGUUUCAAAAUUAGGUUAAACCCCUGAAGCAUAUGUUGUUCUGGUUUUGUUUGAAGUGGUUGUGGUUUUCCUAGUUCAAACCCUUAUCAUGCACGUCUUGUUGAUUCACAUGUCACGAUUAAUUAGGCUCACAACCAUAAAACUUAAUUACUAAGUUGACUCUCAUGCUAGCGAAAACCUUUUCAUAUAGACCUAUAGAUGGCCAUAAGGCCUGAGGCCCGACGGCCCGGCCCAUGGCGCGACAUUUUGGCCCGGCCCAAACACGGC